Molecule: long non-coding RNA, 2111 nt
Organism: Amblyraja radiata (thorny skate)
Lineage: Eukaryota; Metazoa; Chordata; Chondrichthyes; Rajiformes; Rajidae
Exons: 4
Source: RefSeq, a predicted model, not a curated record
UUUAAGAAAAGAAUGCAAUGCUUGAAAGUUAUGUUCAAACUAAUGACAUAGCACAUACAAAUCAGUGCUUUAAAGAAACCAAAAAAAUGUAUGAACAGUAUGCUACUCAGUAUGUUACUCAAGCUAAAUACUUCUGCUUGUAAAUUUGAGUCAGUGGUGUGUGUGUGUAUAGCUUCCUCUUGCCUCUUAAAUUAACUUUUUUUUAAAUGUGAAAAAGGGAGCAUUCUGUUAACUGCUAGUUUUCUCUCUCGUCAUAUUACUGAUCUCUCCUCACUGAAGAGCAAAAGUCAUUAAUUUAAUCUCCUACACUGCAAUGAAUAAUGGCAGAAGAGUUGCAGUUUAAAGUCAGCCAGCUUUUGUUCAUAUUGACGAGAGCGUGAACAUUCCAAGUAUUGGCCAUCCCAGAAAUGUGAAAAUGGUUUAUUUUUUAAAUCUGUUUGGUGCUUGCCUAGUUUAUUGCAUUGCCUCUGACAUAGCUUCUCUUGAUUUAAGCUUUUAUCAUUUUUUCCCUUCAUUUUGCAAAUGAAAAUAACUUGAUGCUUACUUUACAUCAAGCAAACUGAUUUAAAAACAGAUAUUUUAAAAUAAUGUAACUGCACAAGUUGAUAACUUCUGAUUUAAAAACCCUUGUUUUAAUUUUAUUAUACUUUUGUGCAACAUAUAUAUAGAUACACAUUAACUAAUCUUAACUUUCCACCAUCACUAAGAUCUAUCAUUUCUGAUUUUUGUUGAGCAGCUAAAUACUAAAAUCUUCUAUCAGCAUGUAUCUCUUUCUGCUUAAAUAAUAAAUCUUCCUUCCCAUUUACCCCAUUCUCUGUCAUUGCUUUUACUACAGAUUUUUGCCUUUUAAUUUCAACGGGGAAGUUCACUGUGGUGGAAUGGCUUGGAAGGAAAAAUCAGCUCGGAAUUCAGCUAUUUAAAAAAAAAAACUAACACUUAAUAUAAAUAUUUACAUUUACUCAGAGCUUGAAAUAAACUAAGCAUUACUGGUUCACCAAAAAAAAUCUAAGUUUGCAAGCCUCAACAUCUUUCUCAAUGAAUUUUAUCCUAGAAGUUAGUGUUACUUUUACGUAGCUCUAUCAUGGGGGCUUCAGAAAUUUGAACUGAAUGAUAUAAUCCUUUAGGCACGUGUUUUGCUGCACCUAUGGAUUUCAACCAGUAUCUUGAUGCUAAAUACUGUAUUUAAUGCUAACUUGACAAUUAAAGAAAAUUGCAACUUUCCUUGUUAGCCUGACAGUCUGAUUUGGCUAUGUCUGAUUGUCACAAUUAGUUAUGUGAAGUUGAGUUUGGCAAUCCAACAUAGCACAGCAGAAUAAUUGGUUCGCUGCUCUGAUUGCCAUAUUUGUACACCUGGAAGAAUGAUGUGCAGUUUGCUUGCUUAACAAACUUGACUUCAUCAGGACAUUUAUUUUAGUUCCAGGAGAUCAAUCCAUUGUAUUUAUAUUAUGGGGCUUGGCUUUUUCAUUGCAGCAUCGGCUUCAUGUACAACUCAAAUAUUAAUUGGCAUACGUCUACGGUAACCAGAGAAAAUACUUGGCAGUUUAAAUGCUUAGAGUUGAUUUUCUGGAAUUAAAACAACACCAUAGUUUAAAUAGAGCAUUUUAUCAGUUAAGUUUUAUCUAUUGUACGUGCAGAUUCAUUGUGCAGCUAGCCACUGGCAUUUGGAUUCUCGGCAAUUGAUAAUGAUAUUUCAUGCUAUUAUAGUGGGAAAAGCUAGAGGAGGGAAGGUAUAUGUAGGGCCCCCCCUCAAAUAUCUGACACAGAUUUUUGUAUGUAAUUUAUAAGUACUCUAUUUGUUUUAAAAGCUAUAUGAUGGAUUUAGGAAUUUGAGCUAUGUACCUGUCUAAAGAACAUACAAAGUUUUUAUUUAAAAGAUUUGGAUUUGGGUUCCUAAAUUUUGGAUGGGAGUACAGAGGAAAAAUUUCACCCAUGUCAGGUUUUGUCACAAACAUCUGUUCAACAUGCUUGGCUGUGAUAUUCAAGUUAAAGUCUACAUCUCUGCUUCACUUUGAAAUCUAUUGCAGUUUUAAAGGUUACCUAAACUCUGUUUUGGAUUAAUUUAUUGUAUCUGGUGACUAUUUGUAGAAAUUAUAAUAGUCAUUUGGUGUUUU